UAGGGAAUCUUCCACAAUGGACGAAAGUCUGAUGGAGCAACGCCGCGUGAGUGAAGAAGGUUUUCGGAUCGUAAAGCUCUGUUGUAGGUGAAGAAGGAUAGAGGCAGUAACUGGUCUUUAUUUGACGGUAAUCAACCAGAAAGUCACGGCUAACUACGUGCCAG
RNAcentral lists this ribosomal RNA (164 nucleotides) under uncultured bacterium. Its description in RNAcentral is "partial 16S rRNA". It matches the Rfam family "Bacterial small subunit ribosomal RNA", at positions 355 to 511 of the family's 1533-position model. The record is from RNAcentral.